AUUUAAAUCAGAGAAAAAAUACCCUGUGCGUUUUGUUUCCUUAAAAACUUUAUUGACAGAUUUAGUCAAAUUGAACAGAAUUCUCUCUAGCAAAAUGUCUAACAUUAAUUCCAAGCAAAGCAAAAUAUUGGUACAUUCCAAGCAAAGCAAUGUCAUACAAAAGUAACAAAAUACAUAUUCUAAUAUCCAAAAUUAUCAAAUUACAUCCAAAUCACAUCCAAAAGUUACAUAAAAAAUACAUCUGAAAAUGCGUUCAUCACUGACACCGGAAGCCAUCCUCCAUGUUCCUUCACCUACACAUAGUAUAGACCCCUGAUCAUUAAAAUUUAAUAUUUUUUAGUAUAGUAAGUCAAUAUCAUCAAUCUCCUGCCAAUGACAGAAAAUAAAGCACCAUACAUACUUCAUUACACACAAAUAUCUAGAGCUAAAGAAGGAUGUUACUCGAUUCCAAAAACUUGAAAGUAAUCAUAGAUCCACAUACAAACUUGAGCAAACUAAAAAAGGUGAGAACAACUACACUAAGAUGAACAAACUAAAAAAGGUGAGAACAAGGUAGAAGAUACAAUACUUGUAUCAAAACUUUUCUAGCAGAAGAUUGCUUGCCUAUCAAUAUUCUUCAAGUAUCUUGACCAAGGGAAGUAGUCCUUUUUCAGAUGUUGUGGCCAAGAGAUCCUAUAACCUAAAGCCUAUUAAUUAAUAUUAUGGGUUAGUAUAUAGCAUAUCACAUUCUUAACACGAAUUUAACAGUGAAUUCAUCACUUUAACAAAUAAACUGGAACAAGUACUUAGAUGCAUCACACAAAAGAAAAUUGCAUUCUUAUGUGGCCCCCUGUUAAUCAGUUAAGAUUGUUUAAAUAUCCUCCAAGAGAAAAUUAACUUGCAAACAAGAAGUUGCAGAAAAUUGCACAACAUGGUUAUCCAUGAGAGAUUAAAACCUAUAAUGAUCAAAUUUGGUAAUUAACUUUUCAGAAUAUGAUAAAAUUGUGAAUACCCAUCUUAAACAAUUAGUAAUACCCAUCUUAAAACUAAUAUAUUUAUAAAAAAAAACAGAAAAAAAUCAAAGUAAAGAGAUUCGUACAUCCAGAUUUAAAGCAAAGAACAAACCUAGAUUUUCAAAUGCCUAAAAAAAUUAUACAAUACUCCAAAAUAAAUGAUUUGGUCUAAAAAAACCCAGAUUUUAAAAUGCCUAAUUUUCAAUACCCAGAUUUUCAAAAUUAUACAAUACUCCAAAAUGAUUUGGUCUAAAAAAAUUAUACAAUACCCAUAUUUUCAAAUGCCUAAUUUUUCAUGUUUUAAUCAAAAUAACCUUAUUGAGACAUUUUUACAAACACCUAACAUACAUAAGUUAAAAAAAAAUUGAUAUGUAUAUUAACUUGCUUCAUAGAAGUUAACUUGCUUCAUCGCAGACACCUAAAAUGCAAAAAAACAAACACAGAUACAAGGCUAUCAGCCACAAUCUAAUAAACAACUCUAAUUAAAAAAAUAAUGAGCCUGACCUUACGAUUUGCAAACCCUAGCUUCAAAGGGGCUUUGUUCUGUUCUAUGUCCGGCGACUUCUUGAAUCUACCUUACGACUUCGCGAAUGGAAGAGAAAGAGAGAAGGAGGGGUUUUCGAUCUGUAAGAAUUGGAAGAAUAAGAGAGAAGGAGGGAGUCUUCCCACUGAAUUCGCGAGAAGGAGGGGUUUUUGAUCUGCAGCUUUGGAAGAAUACGAGAGAAGGAGGAAGUCUUCCCACUGAAUAAUCGAGUUUUUUUUUACGACCCGAUCUGUCAUUUUGACCCGCGUGUUUCUCUUUUUCUUGAGUCCAUUUGUUAGUCCGUUUCUG
RNAcentral lists this long non-coding RNA (1824 nucleotides) under Panax ginseng (ginseng). RNAcentral's name for it is "long non-coding RNA (PGIN_LNC007294)". The record is from RNAcentral. Lineage: Eukaryota; Viridiplantae; Streptophyta; Magnoliopsida; Apiales; Araliaceae.